UACAGGGGGGGCAAGCGUUGUUCGGAAUUACUGGGCGUAAAGGGCGCGUAGGCGGCCUGCUAAGUCGAACGUGAAAUCCCUGGGCUCAACCCAGGAACUGCGUCCGAUACUGGUUGGCUUGAAUCCGGGAGAGGGAUGUGGAAUUCCAGGUGUAGCGGUGAAAUGCGUAGAUAUCUGGAGGAACACCGGUGGCGAAGGCGACAUCCUGGACCGGCAUUGACGCUGAGGCGCGAAAGCCAGGGGAGCAAACGGG
Molecule: ribosomal RNA, 253 nt
Filed under: uncultured bacterium
Lineage: Bacteria
Description: partial 16S ribosomal RNA
Rfam family: Bacterial small subunit ribosomal RNA
Source: RNAcentral